AAAGACCCCGUGAACCUUUACUAUAGCUUGACACUGAACAUUGAGCCUUGAUGUGUAGGAUAGGUGGGAGGCUUUGAAGUGUGGACGCCAGUCUGCAUGGAGCCGACCUUGAAAUACCACCCUUUAAUGUUUGAUGUUCUAACGUUGGCCCCUAAUCGGGGUUGCGGACAGUGUCUGGUGGGUAGUUUGACUGGGGCGGUCUCCUCCUAAAGAGUAACGGAGGAGCACGAAGGUUGGCUAAUCCUGGUCGGACAUCAGGAGGUUAGUGCAAUGGCAUAAGCCAGCUUGACUGCGAGCGUGACGGCGCGAGCAGGUGCGAAAGCAGGUCAUAGUGAUCCGGUGGUUCUGAAUGGAAGGGCCAUCGCUCAACGGAUAAAAGGUACUCCGGGGAUAACAGGCUGAUACCGCCCAAGAGUUCAUAUCGACGGCGGUGUUUGGCACCUCGAUGUCGGCUCAUCACAUCCUGGGGCUGAAGUAGGUCCCAAGGGUAUGGCUGUUCGCCAUUUAAAGUGGUACGCGAGCUGGGUUUAGAACGUCGUGAGACAGUUCGGUCCCUAUCUGCCGUGGGCGCUGGAGAACUGAGGGGGGCUGCUCCUAGUACGAGAGGACCGGAGUGGACGCAUCACUGGUGUUCGGGUUGUCAUGCCAAUGGCACUGCCCGGUAGCUAAAUGCGGAAGAGAUAAGUGCUGAAAGCAUCUAAGCACGAAACUUGCC
RNAcentral lists this ribosomal RNA (715 nucleotides) under Escherichia coli. Its description in RNAcentral is "partial 23S ribosomal RNA". It matches the Rfam family "Bacterial large subunit ribosomal RNA", at positions 2084 to 2798 of the family's 2925-position model. The record is from RNAcentral. Lineage: Bacteria; Pseudomonadati; Pseudomonadota; Gammaproteobacteria; Enterobacterales; Enterobacteriaceae.